GGUGAGUAAUGCGUAGGAAGCUGCCCGAUAGAGGGGGAUACCAGUUGGAAACGACUGUUAAUACCGCAUAAUGUCUACGGACCAAAGUGUGGGACCUUCGGGCCACAUGCUAUCGGAUGCGCCUACGUGGGAUUAGCUAGUUGGUGAGGUAAUGGCUCACCAAGGCGACGAUCUCUAGCUGGUUUGAGAGGAUGAUCAGCCACACUGGAACUGAGACACGGUCCAGACUCCUACGGGAGGCAGCAGUGGGGAAUA
This 255-nucleotide ribosomal RNA is filed under the name Mesorhizobium sp. Its description in RNAcentral is "partial 16S ribosomal RNA". It matches the Rfam family "Bacterial small subunit ribosomal RNA", at positions 105 to 363 of the family's 1533-position model. Lineage: Bacteria; Pseudomonadati; Pseudomonadota; Alphaproteobacteria; Hyphomicrobiales; Phyllobacteriaceae. The record is from RNAcentral.